GUAGAGAUUGAAACAAGGCUUGAAGUUCAUGAAGCAGGGACAGAGGAUUCAAAUCCACAACCAAACAAUGUCGGAGUUGUCUCAUGACUCCUAUCAAAUCUUAAAAGUUUUGAAUAUUUUGGAAAGCAAUUGAAUGUUGAUGAAAGAAGGAAUGAUUUACAAGAGAGAGAGAAAAAAAAGAUGGCGAAUGGAACUCUGGUAAGUACAUGAGUCUAUUCAAUUCAAAUCUAAUUAUUUAUGAACUUUGUUUUGUCUUUUGAGACCUAUUAAACCCAAUUAUAUAUGCUUUUUUUCUUCCUGGAAUCUCACUUGAACUUGAUCAGACAUCGCCUCAAAGGAUACCCAAUGUUCUUUUUACUGUCAAUAUCAAUAUAAAUUUAGUACACUAUUACUAAGACUUUAGAUGACAUAUAAUUUCUAUGUUUUCUCUUUUAAACACUUAGUCAUGUGAUAUGGUGGAAACAAUUAAAAAUUGAGUGUUCUUUAAGAGUUGUUCAGUACAAAUAAGGUGAAUUUUUCUUAAGAGUACCUCAAUAAGAGAAUUAUUAUUUUAGUGAAUUUCAUAGUAUAUGGCUUGAUAGGGAAUAGUUCUCGUUACUUAUUACUAUAAAGAAAUGGCUUGCUGAAAGAUAUGAAUGUAGUAUGGCUUGAUAAUUUUAGAAUAGAAACAAAAAAGAGCAGAGCUUAUUAUUUAUUUUCCGGUUUAUCUCCUACUUCUCUUUUAAGUGUCUACUUUAAAAAAAAUAUUUUUAUUAUCUAAGAAAUUAAAAUAAUAAAAAAAAUUAUUGAAAAUAGUAAUGGUUGAAAUUUAAUAUUGAUGAUACAGCUAUAAAUUAUUAUGUAAUCAAUAUUAAAUUUUCACUGUAAUUGUAAAAACACCUCUAUUUUUAAUUUUUAUUUAAUUGAAGUUUUAUCUCUAAAUACUUAUUAUGACAAAUGUUAUUCAAGUAUCCAAUUAAGCUAUUAGUACUCUUCAAUUGUUUAUAAGAUGUCUCUAUCAUUUCUUUUGUUUUCUUUAUUUCUUUAUUUUCUUUUAUUAUUUGAAGCUUGUUUAAUUUGUCUAAUACAUGUUUAUAAUUAUAUUGAUGUCAGUCGUGCUUCGUACUAAAGAGCAAUGGAAUAUCUUUCUUGAGAAUGUAAUUAUGCAUUGUGUAUGAUAUUAAUUGAAAUUUAUUUAUUUUCCAAAUUCUAAUUGAUUGUUUAUAUGGUUAUGCAUUUGUAGGUCAGAAUUGGUUCCUGCGUAUGUUCGGC
RNAcentral lists this long non-coding RNA (1251 nucleotides) under Glycine max (soybean). Its description in RNAcentral is "long non-coding RNA (GMAX_LNC000380)". Lineage: Eukaryota; Viridiplantae; Streptophyta; Magnoliopsida; Fabales; Fabaceae. The record is from RNAcentral.